GCGGCGAAGAUUAGCUCCUUUCGGGGCUAUG
RNAcentral lists this small RNA (31 nucleotides) under Bombyx mori (domestic silkworm). RNAcentral's name for it is "ovarian small RNA-5376". The record is from RNAcentral. Lineage: Eukaryota; Metazoa; Arthropoda; Insecta; Lepidoptera; Bombycidae.